CGACCUUCUUGCUCAAGGCUAUGCGGCACUCCUUCUCGGACCUCUGAUUGGGUUCUCGCGGCAAGCAAUUCUUCCUGCCGUCGAAGGCCACUACAGGCAGCGCGUUGGGGCGACACUCGGGAUCUUCGGCGUCAAACAAGUUGAACGAGUAGGUGAAGUUCUUGAGAUUGGGCAAAGUGCAAACGUUUUCUGGAACUUUGCUUCUGAACUUAUUGCCCGCAAUAUUGAGCACCUCUAUUUUCUGCAGGUACUCCAUCCCCUGCGGCAGGUCUCCCAUAAACUUGUUGUUCGAGAUGUCGAAAAGCUUGGUGGUGUUGAGCAUGGUGAUCUCCUCCGGCAGGCACCCAGACAGCUCAUUGUGCGACACCACGAACUCGUCCAAAUUUCCCGCCAUC
Molecule: long non-coding RNA, 395 nt
Filed under: Salvia miltiorrhiza (redroot sage)
Lineage: Eukaryota; Viridiplantae; Streptophyta; Magnoliopsida; Lamiales; Lamiaceae
Description: long non-coding RNA (SMIL_LNC006379)
Source: RNAcentral